AUGUCGUUGUUCUGCAGCAGCCUGAAGUAUGCAGUCGCCGACGAGCAUCAGGUUGGUCUUCUCGGCCCCAACCUCCACGUUCUCGAAGUAUCCCCCGGCCUUGAUGUGGAGCACGUACCGCGUCGCGCUGUUGUUGGGCGCCGCCGCCAGCGCCUUCCCCACCGUCGUGAAGUUGCCGCUCCCGUCCUUGGCCACCACCAGGUCCGGCACGCCGACGCCCUGGUCCUGCUGCUGCCGCCGCCUCCGGUCCGCCGCCGUCACCCAUGUCGAGAACCCGCGGCGCACGGGCCCGUACCCCUCGAACGCCUCGGCCACACUUCUUCUUGUGAUUCUCGCGUGGAGGGCGACGUGGCGGCGAAGCUGGCCGCGAGCCUCGUCCUGGAGGAGACCGAUGCCGACCGCAUGUUCCAGGACUGGUCGUGCCAGUUCCGCAACAACAGGUACAACUACACGCCGGACACCGUGGGGGAGACCGGCGUGCAGGUUCACACGGACUCCGGCUUCCUCAUCGUGCUCCAGGAGGACGACCGCGUCAGCGGCCUCGAGGUGGCGGACCCAGACACCGGCGAGUUCGCACCCGUGGACCCUGUCCCGGGCACCUUCCUCGUCAACCUCGGCGACGUCGCCACGGUACAGAUGCUUACAUCUUCUGGCCUCCUACGUCUCCCAGGUUUGACUUCUUCUCUUGUGUGUGUGUCUGUCUAG
This 705-nucleotide ribosomal RNA is filed under the name Triticum aestivum (bread wheat). RNAcentral's name for it is "partial small subunit ribosomal RNA". The record is from RNAcentral. Lineage: Eukaryota; Viridiplantae; Streptophyta; Magnoliopsida; Poales; Poaceae.